This 435-nucleotide ribosomal RNA is filed under the name uncultured bacterium. RNAcentral's name for it is "partial 16S ribosomal RNA". It matches the Rfam family "Bacterial small subunit ribosomal RNA", at positions 29 to 507 of the family's 1533-position model. The record is from RNAcentral.
AGCGAACGCUGGCGGCAGGCUUAACACAUGCCAGUCGAGCGGGCACUUUCGGGUGUCCGCGGCGGACGGGUGAGUAACGCGUGGGAACGUGCCCUCUGGUUCGGAAUAACUCAGGGAAACUUGAGCUAAUACCGGAUACGCCCUUUUGGGGAAAGGCUUGCUGCCGGAGGAUCGGCCCGCGUCUGAUUAGCUAGUUGGUGAGGUAACGGCUCACCAAGGCGACGAUCAGUAGCUGGUCUGAGAGGAUGAUCAGCCACACUGGGACUGAGACACGGCCCAGACUCCUACGGGAGGCAGCAGUGGGGAAUAUUGGACGAUGGGCGCAAGCCUGAUCCAGCCAUGCCGCGUGAGUGAUGAAGGCCUUAGGGUUGUAAAGCUCUUUUAUCCGGGACGAUAAUGACGGUACCGGAGGAAUAAGCCCCGGCUAACUUCGUG